UACGUAGGGUGCAGGCGUUAAUCGGAAUUACUGGGCGUAAAGCGUGCGCAGGCGGUCUGCUAAGAGAGAUGUGAAAUCCCCGGGCUUAACCUGGGAACUGCGUUUCUAACUGGCAGGCUUGAGUGCGGCAGAGGGGGGUGGAAUUCCACGUGUAGCAGUGAAAUGCGUAGAGAUGUGGAGGAACACCGAUGGCGAAGGCAGCCCCCUGGGUCGACACUGACGCUCAUGCACGAAAGCGUGGGGAGCAAACAGGAUUAGAAACCCCCGUAGUCC
RNAcentral lists this ribosomal RNA (273 nucleotides) under uncultured bacterium. Its description in RNAcentral is "partial 16S ribosomal RNA". It matches the Rfam family "Bacterial small subunit ribosomal RNA", at positions 524 to 796 of the family's 1533-position model. The record is from RNAcentral.